Molecule: small RNA, 59 nt
Filed under: Sinorhizobium meliloti 2011
Lineage: Bacteria; Pseudomonadati; Pseudomonadota; Alphaproteobacteria; Hyphomicrobiales; Rhizobiaceae
Description: putative ncRNA
Source: RNAcentral
AGACAUUGGCGCUGGUGACCACCGUCAAAGGGUUCUGGUACUGCGCCGGGAUGUUCGCU